AGUGAACGCUGGCGGCAGGCCUAACACAUGCAAGUCGAACGGCAGCACAGUGGAGCUUGCUCCAUGGGUGGCGAGUGGCGGACGGGUGAGGAAUACAUCGGAAUCUGCCCAGUCGUGGGGGAUAACAUAGGGAAACUUAUGCUAAUACCGCAUACGACCUACGGGUGAAAGCGGGGGAUCGCAAGACCUCGCGCGAUUGGAUGAGCCGAUGUCCGAUUAGCUAGUUGGCGGGGUAAUGGCCCACCAAGGCGACGAUCGGUAGCUGGUCUGAGAGGAUGAUCAGCCACACUGGAACUGAGACACGGUCCAGACUCCUACGGGAGGCAGCAGUGGGGAAUAUUGGACAAUGGGCGCAAGCCUGAUCCAGCCAUGCCGCGUGGGUGAAGAAGGCCUUCGGGUUGUAAAGCCCUUUUGUCCGGAAAGAAACGCCUCGGAUUAAUACUCUGGGGUAAUGACGGUACCGGAAGAAUAAGCACCGGCUAACUUCGUGCCAGCAGCCGCCGCAG
RNAcentral lists this ribosomal RNA (506 nucleotides) under uncultured bacterium. RNAcentral's name for it is "partial 16S ribosomal RNA". It matches the Rfam family "Bacterial small subunit ribosomal RNA", at positions 29 to 523 of the family's 1533-position model. The record is from RNAcentral.